UGAGGAAUAUUGGUCAAUGGGCGAGAGCCUGAACCAGCCAAGUAGCGUGCAGGAUGACGGCCCUAUGGGUUGUAAACUGCUUUUAUAUGGGAAUAAAGUGAGGGACGUGUCCCUUAUUGCAUGUACCAUACGAAUAAGGACCGGCUAAUUCCGUGCCAGCAGCCGCGGUAAUACGGAAGGUCCCGGCGUUAUCCGGAUUUAUUGGGUUUAAAGGGAGCGUAGGCUGUUUGUUAAGCGUGUUGUGAAAUGUAAGAGCUCAACUUUUAGAUUGCAGCGCGAACUGGCAGACUUGAGUGCGCACAACGUAGGCGGAAUUCAUGGUGUAGCGGUGAAAUGCUUAGAUAUCAUGACGAACUCCGAUUGCGAAGGCAGCUUACGGGAGCGCAACUGACGCUAAAGCUCGAAGGUGCGGGUAUCGAACAGG
RNAcentral lists this ribosomal RNA (424 nucleotides) under Verrucomicrobiota bacterium. RNAcentral's name for it is "Verrucomicrobia bacterium partial 16S ribosomal RNA". It matches the Rfam family "Bacterial small subunit ribosomal RNA", at positions 355 to 776 of the family's 1533-position model. Lineage: Bacteria; Pseudomonadati; Verrucomicrobiota. The record is from RNAcentral.